Long non-coding RNA from Eubalaena glacialis (North Atlantic right whale), 619 nucleotides. RefSeq lists it as uncharacterized. Lineage: Eukaryota; Metazoa; Chordata; Mammalia; Artiodactyla; Balaenidae. The record is from RefSeq and is a predicted model, not a curated record. The transcript is spliced from 5 exons.
CAGGAGUGAAGACUGCCGCCUUGUCCUGCCUGCCAUCUGCCCCAUAUGGUGGGGUGUCGCUCCAGGACUUUGCUUCAGACAGGUCCAGACUCUGAACUUAUGACUGAGUCACAGGAAGAGAGUGCUGAACUCAGAAGUGGUGGGCAUCAGAGGCUAUGGUCUUCCCUGCAGUGUUGAAGAAAACAAAGGGCAUUUCAACAUAUCUCAUUAAUAAGGGAUUGGAACAGGAGAGGAAGAUCAUGGCAGGUUCCACUCUAAUAGCCAGCCAAAUGCACAGCCAUUAGAUGGUUGGAAACUGGAUUCAUGAGUCACCACGUGGAGGAGAACCUCCUGACCAGGACUCUGCAUGAGAGAGAAAUAAACAUUGAUUGGUUUACACUUCAUUAGCUGGAGCUAUUCCUAUGGCCACACCUACUUCAAGACAGCUGGGAAGUCAGCCUCCCAUGAGUCAAAGAAGGAGAGGAGAACCAGUUAUGGGGCUCCCAUGCUAGCCUGGCAUGAGGAAAACUUCUUAAAUGGGUUUGGCCUCCUGCCCACGCAGACCAUGAGUAUGUGAUUACCUCCCACCAGCCUUCACGCAGGCUUAUUUGGCAUUGACUCUGGGGGGCUGAAUAGGAAA